CGGCACCGCCCCCCGCCCCCCGCCGCUCUCGCGGGACCUCCUCGGCACCGCCCUCCGCCGAUUAAAGGGGCAACGUCCGCCCGGACUCACGGGAGCGGCGCACAGGAGCGCUCGGCACCAUAGAGACUCGUACGAGCUCGCCUAGAGCGUCACCUGCUCUCCCAACCCCUCCCCCCCCCGGUGGUGUCUGCGUCGCGGGCGGGACCCGACGCCCACCUUCCCGUUCCCGGCGCUCAGGCGGGAGAGGAAGCGGAGAGAAUGGGGGCUGAGAGCUGCACCAUGGUAACCCCACGGGACGCUCUAACUCGUUCUGCGUCACGAAGAUGCCCGUGACGGCUUCCGGAAGAAUGCUCUGCGGCCAUGUUUCUGAGGGGCUCUGAGGUCACUUCCGGAGCCCUCACUGCGUACUUCCGCUUAUAUGGAAAGUGGGAGGGUCCCUUAAAAGGGCAAUGACGGACGUUGGCCGCUGGGAAAAGAAGUCAAAGUUUGUUGAGUGCUUACAAUGUUCCAGGCAUUUUCUAAGCACUUUUUACGCAUUAAUGUAUUUACUCCCCCCACAACAAACCCACGAACCAGAUAGUUUGAGGUCACACUAGUGGCAGAGCCUAAACCCCGUGCUAUCUCUGCUUUGAUUCUGCGAUCGUUUAAUGAACACUACGUUUGCUUUGCUCUGUGACGGGCGCUGGAGGAGAAAGAAAUCUCCCUCAUCUGACUUUCGCAUCCGCGGCCGGGGAUCGCCAGAUGACGUCACUACCAGGGAGAGUCGGUCCCCGGCUCACCUAGGUCGGUCGCAGUCUAUCGCCCCCUGGCGGUCCUCUGGGGAACCAGUCUAUAGCGCCCUCUGGAGCCACCAAGUGCCCCGUACUGUCAAAGCGACAAAGACAGGGGAAUCUGGUGUAGCCGGUUCGGCUUGGUGAUCGCCUUGGUGAACGACCUCGAGUCACCUUGCCCAACUGCAGUGACCUCAUCUGGGGGGAUGAGGGGUUUGUGCUGAGUCAGUUUUUUCCCUAAACUCAUCAUUCAGCCGACUGAGAUGCUUUUCUAAAAUUCUCUCCCGCAGGCCAUUAAAAUUAUACAGGAAAAUGAUACGUGUGUUUAUUGCAUUCCUCAAUAAAAGCUGUAACGUAAUGUGUACUUAGAUCUCU
Molecule: long non-coding RNA, 1145 nt
Filed under: Felis catus (domestic cat)
Lineage: Eukaryota; Metazoa; Chordata; Mammalia; Carnivora; Felidae
Description: lncRNA (ENSFCAG00000049535.1)
Source: RNAcentral